This 202-nucleotide small nucleolar RNA is filed under the name Castor canadensis (American beaver). RNAcentral describes it as "Small nucleolar RNA SNORA73 family (ENSCCNG00000026679.1)". Lineage: Eukaryota; Metazoa; Chordata; Mammalia; Rodentia; Castoridae. The record is from RNAcentral.
CUGAGUUGGAUGCCUGGGAGGUCACAUUUCCAUGGCUGUAUCCAAAUGGCACCCAGAGCAUAAGGGCUCUGCCCCCCUGAUAUACCAAUCCCUUUCCACAGUGUUGGAGAAUCUGGGUCUGAGUCUGGGUCUCUACGUUCCUAGGACUUCACAAAGUCCUAUGGACAAUGACUGAGAGACAAACCCAUGUAGGAAGGCAAUU